UGGGGAAUAUUGCACAAUGGGCGCAAGCCUGAUGCAGCCAUGCCGCGUGUAUGAAGAAGGCCUUCGGGUUUUAAAGUACUUUCAGUCGGGAGGAAGGUGGUAAGGUUAAUAACCUUAUCAAUUGACGUUACCCGCAGAAGAAGCACCGGCUAACUCCGUGCCAGCAGCCGCGGUAAUACGGAGGGUGCAAGCGUUAAUCGGAAUUACUGGGCGUAAAGCGCACGCAGGCGGUUGAUUGAGUCAGAUGUGAAAUCCCCGGGCUUAACCCGGGAAUUGCAUCUGAUACUGGUCAGCUAGAGUCUUGUAGAGGGGGGUAGAAUUCCAUGUGUAGCGGUGAAAUGCGUAGAGAUGUGGAGGAAAACCGGUGGCGAAGGCGGCCCCCUGGACAAAGACUGACGCUCAGGUGCGAAAGCGUGGGGAGCAAACAGG
RNAcentral lists this ribosomal RNA (429 nucleotides) under Chloroflexota bacterium. RNAcentral describes it as "Chloroflexi bacterium partial 16S ribosomal RNA". It matches the Rfam family "Bacterial small subunit ribosomal RNA", at positions 355 to 776 of the family's 1533-position model. Lineage: Bacteria; Bacillati; Chloroflexota. The record is from RNAcentral.